GAUUAAGUUAUUAAGGGCGCACGGUGGAUGCCUUGGCACUAGAAGCCGAUGAAGGACGUUACUAACGACGAUAUGCUUUGGGGAGCUGUAAGUAAGCUUUGAUCCAGAGAUUUCCGAAUGGGGAAACCCAGCAUGAGUUAUGUCAUGUUAUCGAUAUGUGAAUACAUAGCAUAUCAGAAGGCACACCCGGAGAACUGAAACAUCUUAGUACCCGGAGGAAGAGAAAGAAAAUUCGAUUCCCUUAGUAGCGGCGAGCGAAACGGGAAGAGCCCAAACCAACAAGCUUGCUUGUUGGGGUUGUAGGACACUCUAUACGGAGUUACAAAGGACGACAUUAGACGAAUCAUCUGGAAAGAUGAAUCAAAGAAGGUAAUAAUCCUGUAGUCGAAAAUGUUGUCUCUCUUGAGUGGAUCCUGAGUACGACGGAGCACGUGAAAUUCCGUCGGAAUCUGGGAGGACCAUCUCCUAAGGCUAAAUACUCUCUAGUGACCGAUAGUGAACCAGUACCGUGAGGGAAAGGUGAAAAGCACCCCGGAAGGGGAGUGAAAUAGAACCUGAAACCGUGUGCUUACAAGUAGUCAGAGCCCGUUAAUGGGUGAUGGCGUGCCUUUUGUAGAAUGAACCGGCGAGUUACGAUUUGAUGCAAGGUUAAGCAGUAAAUGUGGAGCCGUAGCGAAAGCGAGUCUGAAUAGGGCGUUUAGUAUUUGGUCGUAGACCCGAAACCAGGUGAUCUACCCUUGGUCAGGUUGAAGUUCAGGUAACACUGAAUGGAGGACCGAACCGACUUACGUUGAAAAGUGAGCGGAUGAACUGAGGGUAGCGGAGAAAUUCCAAUCGAACCUGGAGAUAGCUGGUUCUCUCCGAAAUAGCUUUAGGGCUAGCCUCAAGUGAUGAUUAUUGGAGGUAGAGCACUGUUUGGACGAGGGGCCCCUCUCGGGUUACCGAAUUCAGACAAACUCCGAAUGCCAAUUAAUUUAACUUGGGAGUCAGAACAUGGGUGAUAAGGUCCGUGUUCGAAAGGGAAACAGCCCAGACCACCAGCUAAGGUCCCAAAAUAUAUGUUAAGUGGAAAAGGAUGUGGCGUUGCCCAGACAACUAGGAUGUUGGCUUAGAAGCAGCCAUCAUUUAAAGAGUGCGUAAUAGCUCACUAGUCGAGUGACACUGCGCCGAAAAUGUACCGGGGCUAAACAUAUUACCGAAGCUGUGGAUUGUCCUUUGGACAAUGGUAGGAGAGCGUUCUAAGGGCGUUGAAGCAUGAUCGUAAGGACAUGUGGAGCGCUUAGAAGUGAGAAUGCCG
Molecule: ribosomal RNA, 1297 nt
Filed under: Staphylococcus aureus
Lineage: Bacteria; Bacillati; Bacillota; Bacilli; Caryophanales; Staphylococcaceae
Description: partial 23S ribosomal RNA
Rfam family: Bacterial large subunit ribosomal RNA
Source: RNAcentral